UACGUAGGGUGCGAGCGUUAAUCGGAUUUACUGGGCGUAAAGCGUGCGCAGGCGGCCCGUUAAGACAGGUGUGAAAUCCCUGGGCUCAACCUAGGAAUUGCGCUUGUGACUGGCAAGCUAGAGUAUGGUAGAGGGUGGUGGAAUUUCCUGUGUAGCGGUGAAAUGCGUAGAGAUCAGGAGGAACACCGAUGGCGAAGGCAGCCCCCUGGGCCUGUACUGACGCUCAUGCACGAAAGCGUGGGGAGCAAACAGG
Molecule: ribosomal RNA, 253 nt
Filed under: uncultured microorganism
Description: partial 16S ribosomal RNA
Rfam family: Bacterial small subunit ribosomal RNA
Source: RNAcentral